CCAGAAGGAGAUAGCCAAGAACUCUGUAAAGAGUGGAAUCAAAGGAGGUUGUUGUUGAGCUCCGACUUCAACCGCAGAAAUCAAAGCUGUAAGCAUCCAGACAUGAACAAUAAAUUAGCCAAGCAAGAAGGAUGGAAAAUGGAGUACUGCUUAACUUAUGCAGCUAUCGAUAAAAUAAGACUACUUAGACUUGAAUUACUUCUUGUGAAGAAGUCCAAAAUUUGCCACUAAGCUAUUGACUUAUCACUUAACUUUACCUACUUAAAAGUUGGCAACAAAAAUAUACUCUCAUUAUCACCAUUUUGUAUCAAAUAGCCCUUUUUUCUCUAGCUCAGCAAACAGAAUCAUCUUUCGCAUCCAUCAUCGUCCAGGUAGGGCACGUGAGUGACAUGUCUCAUACUAAAAACGAAUGUUCGAGCCACUUCAGCGAAACAAAGAAAAGAACAAAUGAUCCCUAUCUUUGAAAACAUGUUAAAUGACACAACUAAAGCUAAUCAGGUAACAACUACUCAACUUCUUGUUAAAUUUUCUGAAACAACUUCCAGUCACUAACUUUUAAAAAGUAAAAGUGAUUGUUUCACAUCAAGUCAUUUUAGAAGAAGGGUCAUCCAAACAAGCCAACUAGGAAAUCCUUUAGGGAGAAGCUAAGAGUUUCUUCUACCAGUGACCUGUUAGAUUUUUCUAUCUUCAUUAGUCUUUUCUCUAUGGAUUUGUCGUGUUUGUUUCUCACCAUGAAAGAGAUAUAUCCUUCUUAGCCCUCGUUCCGUCUUAGUUGCCUUGUCCGCCAUCUUGUUCACUAAAAGAAAAAACCAGGAAAACAGGAAAAAAAGAAAAAAAGAAGAUAAGGAAACUUACGAAGCUUUUCUGAAGUUCUAGCUUCAGUUUAACUGUCCUUUUCUUAUGCUACCAAAUUUGUGGGGCAUAUAAAACUAGAAUCCAGAUAUAGAAUUAAAAUGUUAUCAUAUAGUUACAGAUUCUCCUCCAAUUGGCCAUGUUUGACCAUGUAGGAUAACAUACAACUGCUAGAACGGUCACAAAACGGAGAUGAAUUAGCAGAUCACAAGGGCAAUGCAAAACUAGUUCAGUACAAAAGAUGGCAUCACUUGUUAAUAGUGAAGUAAAAUUUCUCAUUGAAUAACCGAAUAAUAGGAAUCUAAUGUACGGUAACAAAUCGGAUGAAGGAUAGUACUACAUAUUGUUACACUAGCAAAAUUCAAGCUAUUAUUUUCUUUUGUAAAUACCGCUUGCACAAUUUUGUAGUUCAUCUUGCAAAUGCAGCAAUCCUUUUCAUAUAGAUAUAUAAUAAUAAGGUCAAUGGGAAAUGGAUUGAGGAAAAGAACUGCAUUAAAUAGAUGUUAGUAAGUUCUCCCUGCAAAUGUGGCAGGACAUGUAAAAAGGCACCUUAAUAUCUUCAAGACGAAAAAAAGUUAGUUGGCUUACAGGUAAGGUUGAAUUUUCUGCAGCAUCUUUUUUCUUAGAAAUCAAUUAUUUGUGUUUGCACUCACUGCUUUGUUUUGGUUACAAUUACCAGUUUAUUCCAAAUUGAAACCAAAUUUAUACAUAAUAUUAUUGGAAUACUGAUCUUAAUAAGACUGUUAUAUCAUCCAGCUAGUCAUGAAGAUGUCCCGGUGCAAUUUGUAAAUGUUGAUAGUUUUAGAUGAUAAUAAAUACCUUUUACAGGUUGGCGUCAGUUCCUCGGAAUUGAUUUCCAUAGCAUCUUGAACCCCUUAAACUCAUGGAGAAACUGUCUAUGAUGAAGAGAUGGGAACCAUAUGAUAAAGGAAGUUAUUUCCACUCCUUUGGUAGGCUAACUUCUGUCUCUUAGUACAUAGCAGUGUCCUACAGAGGCCCACAAGUAGGUAGUAUCGGGAUAGGAUUCAUCUGAUGUAAUAUAAGUCAAAAAGCAGAAAACAGAUAUUAAAAGCACUCCUCUAGCUCACCCCAUGAUCCCCUAACCAGAAUUGAAGUACAGAAUGCUGCAAGAUGUUCAGUUUUCGUGCUCAGCAUCCAGAAUGAGAACUUUUCUGCUGCAUUCCAAGUCAAGAUGUAGCCAACCUUCUUAAAGACAAGCAACCCUUUUUUAAUUUUGGAGAAUAAUAAUGGAAGAACAAGUUUCAUAUUGGAUAAGGGGGCUUGUAUACCAACCUCUUUAUAUGUGUCAGCAAACAACAGCUGUCAAAGAUGUGAAGGAAUUUCAUUAACUCCAUUUGAUCAAUUUGAAUUUGUGCAAAUCAGUUAUUUGUCCUUUGCUCAGAUGGCAAGGAAUGAUACAGAUUUUUG
RNAcentral lists this long non-coding RNA (2280 nucleotides) under Nicotiana benthamiana. RNAcentral describes it as "long non-coding RNA (NBEN_LNC018839)". Lineage: Eukaryota; Viridiplantae; Streptophyta; Magnoliopsida; Solanales; Solanaceae. The record is from RNAcentral.